Molecule: non-coding RNA, 131 nt
Organism: Pteropus alecto (black flying fox)
Lineage: Eukaryota; Metazoa; Chordata; Mammalia; Chiroptera; Pteropodidae
Source: Rfam
GAUGCUGGACCUGCUGGCACCACAGACACAGCUGCUGUGCUGCACCUAUGAUAUUAGGGCAAAGAAGUAGCUAUUUCUACACUCAGUGCCCAGAACAGUGGGCACUAAGAAUGGUCUGUAGCCUAACACUC